UACGUAGGUGACAAGCGUUGUUCGGAAUUACUGGGCGUAAAGGGCGCGUAGGCGGUUGGAUAAGUCAGCUGUGAAAACCACGGGCUUAACUCGUGGCCUGCAGUUGAGACUGUCUGGCUUGAGUGUGGGAGAGGAGAGUGGAAUUCCUGGUGUAGCGGUGAAAUGCGUAGAUAUCAGGAGGAACACCGGUGGCGAAGGCGGCUCUCUGGACCACAACUGACGCUGAGGCGCGAAAGCUAGGGGAGCAAACAGG
Molecule: ribosomal RNA, 253 nt
Filed under: uncultured bacterium
Lineage: Bacteria
Description: partial 16S ribosomal RNA
Rfam family: Bacterial small subunit ribosomal RNA
Source: RNAcentral